This 558-nucleotide ribosomal RNA is filed under the name Triticum aestivum (bread wheat). RNAcentral describes it as "partial small subunit ribosomal RNA". Lineage: Eukaryota; Viridiplantae; Streptophyta; Magnoliopsida; Poales; Poaceae. The record is from RNAcentral.
AUGAUAUUAUUUUUUACAAUGGCAAGGUUUACAACAAAAUUGAUUUCUAAGAAAGCAUGGCAAAUCUGCCAUACCAAAAAAAAUGCCAUGAGACUUCAUCAUGGAGCCUGGGAGGGUAUAGGACACCAUCAUCAGUCUCGUCCUCUUCCUUCCCAUUAUCUCAGAGUAAUUUCUCUUCAACCAAUCCUUCAGGCUCGGGUGCCUCAAGAUCUCAAGGAUCACAAGGGAGGGGGCCGUUGCACCAUAGGGGGGAGGGGUAGUUUACGGUAUCUGAUCUGGUUAACUUUUUUGCUCCAAAACACUAAAAUGGCGGUUAUUUUCCAAUACGCCUUUGUUAAGGUAUCAGUUAGAGUUGCUCUUAGUACACUCAUGACGCAUCCUAUUUGUAUACAAGGAGAGCAAAAGGUUUAUACAUGGACUAAAAUCAGAUUGCUCUCAAUAACGACAUUCUCCAUGGCUCCUGCCUCUUUCCAGAGUUUUGAGUUUCAAAUCAGAUUGCUCUCAACAACGACAUUCUUCAUGGCUCCUGCCUCUUUCCAGAGUUUUGAGUUCCUCUAG